GAGGGGCGGUUAAACCAACAAGAACUGCUAAUUCUUGCAUCUKGGCUUUAAACCCCAGCCCCCUUA
This 66-nucleotide transfer RNA is filed under the name Anas chathamica (Chatham duck). RNAcentral describes it as "tRNA-Ser". The record is from RNAcentral. Lineage: Eukaryota; Metazoa; Chordata; Aves; Anseriformes; Anatidae.